RNAcentral lists this transfer RNA (365 nucleotides) under uncultured Microcystis sp. Its description in RNAcentral is "partial 16S-23S ribosomal RNA intergenic spacer". The stretch from base 136 to 209 matches the Rfam family "tRNA". The record is from RNAcentral. Lineage: Bacteria; Bacillati; Cyanobacteriota; Cyanophyceae; Chroococcales; Microcystaceae.
AAAGGGAGACCUAAUUCAGGUAGGAGACGAAAAAAAAGUAGUCCCUACCAAGAAUCAAUCCCAAAAGGUCGGAGCGAGGCGAGAUUGGCUUUCAAACUAGGUUCUGGGUUCACACAAGACCUGAAUCAGGAACAAGGGCUAUUAGCUCAGGUGGUUAGAGCGCACCCCUGAUAAGGGUGAGGUCCCUGGUUCGAGUCCAGGAUGGCCCACCUGUACAGGUGGCAAAAAGAAAGAAAAGAAGCGAGGAAUCAGCACCUUAUCUUACUUAUAUAGUAAGAGAGAAUGCUGGCUCUGAGUUCAGAGUCCAGAGGAACCUUGAAAACUGCAUAGAGCUAGGUGAAAAAGCCAAAAAAGAAGACCGCAAG